AAAAUAAUUUCUCAUCCACGCUGGAAGGAAACGCAGAUCAUGCAUCCUACAGCUCCCACCCACUGUUAGUAGUUGUUGAAAGAACCCGUUGAUACAGUGAUACAGUGUAGUGAAGAUGAUAGUGUAAGGGUCAGCGGGGGCGGGCGUAUGUUACUGAGACAAGUGGUGGCUGGCUUGUGUGUGUGUGUGUGUGUCAUGUGAGCGGCCGUGACAACAGGCCAGUUGAGAACCUGCAACGUUAUGUGACACGGAAAAACAAAACAAAAUUGAGGCUUUUAUGAUGAACAGAAACAAAAGUCGUGCUGUGUCAUUCCUCUCCACUGACGACUUCCUCCUCAUUAACAGCACAGCGGGCGUGGGAGCAGCAGAGGGCGUGUGGGCGUGGUCGGUGGGCGUGCGUCAUGAGGGCGGUGCCCGCAGCCUGCCCUGAGCCCGGUCAUGUCCUCCAGUACCCGGCACGGCCCUGACCCGGGCCCAGCACUCAUCCGCAUCAGCCCCACACGGAUACACACGCAGGUAACGCAGACGGUGAGGUACAGGCCCGUGAGGUCACUGCUUCUACUGGGUCUUCUCGUCAUCGUCUCUCUCUUCGUCCUCUUCACGCUCUCACAGAUGGCGGUGGUGCAGCACACUAUGAUGGCGCAGCUGGAUACAGGCCGGGUAGGUGGUACGGGCGUGGGUGGCGGGGGCGGUGGUGGGCGGGCGAGCAAAGUGUCUCACAAACCUUGGAGGAGUCAGUUUAAUCAGUUCAAGAUCGAACCUUUACUGAUCCGCAACGCACCAUCUGUCGAGGUCAACACGGCGCUGGCAGCCAAUCGCCGGCGUGCUAGUCAACUGGCUGCCAUCAUCGUCCGUAAUUCCCUCCUCGUCACGCACUCCGCCCACUAUAAUCACUCCACCCACUAUAAUCACUCCACCCACAUCACCGCCCAUUCUACUGGUGAUCACGCACCUCCGCCCUCCUCCUCCUCCCCCCACACCACACGGCCUCCACUCCUUGACCCUCACGCCCACACAACCACCACCCACGACACUCACGCCCACACAACCACCACCCACGACACUCACUCCUCCCAUAACCCAACACACACAACACCUGCUUCCAGUCACCCCACCCAAUCAGCUUCCAAGCCCCGUCUAAGGGUCGUUAUCCCGCCAACAAGAAGAGUAGUGUCCUCGAGUGUCCUGAAGAAGACUGGUGGUGGAGGAGAACCAACUACGGCAGAGAGAAAGAGAGUCAGAGAACCUCACACAACGAGUGGAGAGAAAGCAUCUCUCAGUACAGACACAGAGAGAGGCACUGUAGGUGACGGGAGGAGGAACAGUGCAGGUAGACGAGGCAGUGAUAGUGUUAUUAAGUUAAAAGACAGUAAUGACAGUGUGAGAAGACGUUUCCUUAGCAAGAUAACAUGUGACAGUGGUGACAGUGAGUGUGAUAACAGUGUCCGUGUUUCCCAGAGUGUUAUAUGGGACGCUACACAUCCCCGCCCGCCCGUACAUACUAGCAGCCACCCUGAUAAUAAUAACGACUUCAUCACACUCGUCGAGAGAACCCGCUCGGGCACGAAGGCCACGACACACGAGGCGGAACCGAAUAACAAACGAUUUAAAAUAAGUCACAUAAUACGAGAGGAAGAGCCCGACAGUGAUAAUAACAAAAUGGACAAUAAGACCUCUGAUGUGUUAGCGACAGAAUUUAGUGAAGCGGAGAAGGAUUUCGAGCCUCUGUACCUCCGAGAAGAUGACGACUACGACCUCAUAGAUAGUGAGGCCACCACCAUCUCGACCUCGCCUGUGGCUCAACAAGUCAAGUCGACCUCCAAGACGAAGAAGACCAGAGUGUCUCACCUCAACGAAGAACAGCUGAGAAAUUUGCCGCUGUGUCCUGAGAUCCCACCCGGCCUAUUGGGCCACCUGGACAUCGAUCUCGACCACCUAGAGAAGUUACAGUUGGAGGACGUGUUGUCUCAGCUCGACUGGGUGUCACCGGGCGGUAGAUGGAGCCCCGUACAGGAACCAGAGACCCCGUGUUUACCCCGUCACAAGGUCGCCGUCGUCCUGCCAUACAGAGACCGCCUCCACCACCUCAUCAUCCUCCUCAGCUGGCUUCACCCCAUCCUGAGGCGACAACAGCUCGAGUACACCAUCUACGUGGCCGAACAGGCGGGCAACGCGACCUUCAACAAGGGAUCCAUCAUGAACGCGGGGUUCAUGGAGGCGUGGCAGAGGAGCGAUGCCAACUGUUUUAUCUUCCACGACGUCGACCUUCUACCAGAGGACGACCGUAACAUGUACUCGUGUCCGCCCCAACCCAGACACCUCUCUGUAGGCGUGGACACCCUCGGCUACAAGCUGCCGUACUUCCUACUGGUGGGCGGUGUGCUAAGCGUCCGUGGUGACCAUUUCCUCCGACUCAACGGCUACUCCAACAUGUACUGGGGCUGGGGAGGCGAGGACGAUGAUAUGGGCUACAGGAUCAAGCAGUCUGGCCUCAGCAUCACCCGGCCCCCCAACAUGCUGGCCAGGUACACCAUGAUACGUCACCUCAAGCGUCGACCCCUCACCUGGAAGGUACGUGGUAAAUUGGUGCGUACAUCAGGCCGACGUUACAGACUGGACGGACUCAAUACCCUGCGUUACUCCCUCUUGGCCCUCCACCGCCACCCACUCUUCACACACCUACUCCUCGACGUGGGCACCCCGCCGGAGAACCUUGUCCGCCUCGACGCCCACUAAAUGUUGCUUUGUAUUGGUGUAAAAAGCUGCUUCUUUUCCUCAUCGUCGUCACGGUUGUGGACACUGUGUGUGUGUGUGCAUGUUUCCGUCGGGAUCAUUACUCGAAAGAUCAGUUGCCAAAUAAAUAUAAAUGGUAUAAUGAGUUACACACACACACACACACUAUCCUGAGGUCUUCAGUCCUCAGUUUGUGUAUAUUUAACAUAAAAUGUUCUAUCGUUCAAGCAGUAACUUCUUACACAGUCAACUGUGAGAGGGACCACCACGUCAUGUAUCAUACUAGAGGUCAUGACUACACCUCGCUCAUAGAUACAUGGACGGGCUUAUUGAACACACACACACACACACACACACACACGGGCAUCAUCUGUGUAACAAUAUUCGUCGAGUCUAAACAUGAUUUUAUACCAAAAACUUUACUAAGCAUAAUAUAACUUUAAGAGAACUUCGUGGCAAACUUCAUAUUUACAAGUCUGGCUAAAACAGACAUUUUAACAUGUACUGUAUGUGAAGGUGAUGUACUUAUUGAGUGUGUUUCAGGGGUCACCUGGCAACACUCUGAGGUGAGUGUUGGAAGGCUUCUACGCGCAAGUUGUGAACCCGUACGUCACUCCGCUGUUUUUAAAACUUUACGCUCAACUUAAUUUUUUUCCAUGGAUGUAUUAAAUAGAUAUUUUAACGUAAACCAGUUCAGUGCUAUACUUUAAGUAUAUUAUCUUUUAAUAAGUGAGACAGAUUGUGUGUGACAAUUUAACAGACUCAAGUAAUUUAGCAAUAAGUUUUAUGAACGAUCUCGCGUUAUUACUGAUCUCCUCUUGAACCAACAGUUUAUGUACCUUCCUCAGUAAACAUUGUAGACAACAUAAUAGUUAAUGACGAACUACAUAUCAGUGCACUCAAUCACAUGGUCUGGAGUUUUAUUUACCCAUGAAGUUCUUUGUAAUGUUUAGCAAUAAAUUUUUAAACGCA
Molecule: unclassified non-coding RNA, 3705 nt
Filed under: Homarus americanus (American lobster)
Lineage: Eukaryota; Metazoa; Arthropoda; Malacostraca; Decapoda; Nephropidae
Description: uncharacterized LOC121870469, transcript variant X1
Source: RNAcentral